Molecule: unclassified non-coding RNA, 329 nt
Filed under: soil metagenome
Description: partial contains 5.8S ribosomal RNA, internal transcribed spacer 2, and large subunit ribosomal RNA
Rfam family: 5.8S ribosomal RNA (bases 1-120)
Source: RNAcentral
GAUGAAGAACGCAGCGAAAUGCGAUAAGUAAUGUGAAUUGCAGAAUUCAGUGAAUCAUCGAAUCUUUGAACGCACAUUGCGCCCCCUGGUAUUCCGGGGGGCAUGCCUGUCCGAGCGUCAUUACAACCCUCAAGCUCAGCCUGGUGUUGGGCCCCGCCGCCCCGGCGGGCCCUAAAGUCAGUGGCGGUGCCGUCCGGCUCCGAGCGUAGUAAUUCUUCUCGCUCUGGAGGUCCGGUCGUGUGCUCGCCAGCAACCCCCAAUUUUUUUCAGGUUGACCUCGGAUCAGGUAGGGAUACCCGCUGAACUUAAGCAUAUCAAUAAGCGGAGGA